AGUCGAGCGGAUGAAGGGAGCUUGCUCCUGGAUUCAGCGGCGGACGGGUGAGUAAUGCCUAGGAAUCUGCCUGGUAGUGGGGGAUAACGUCCGGAAACGGGCGCUAAUACCGCAUACGUCCUGAGGGAGAAAGUGGGGGAUCUUCGGACCUCACGCUAUCAGAUGAGCCUAGGUCGGAUUAGCUAGUUGGUGGGGUAAAGGCCUACCAAGGCGACGAUCCGUAACUGGUCUGAGAGGAUGAUCAGUCACACUGGAACUGAGACACGGUCCAGACUCCUACGGGAGGCAGCAGUGGGGAAUAUUGGACAAUGGGCGAAAGCCUGAUCCAGCCAUGCCGCGUGUGUGAAGAAGGUCUUCGGAUUGUAAAGCACUUUAUGUUGGGAGGAAGGGCAGUAAGUUAAUACCUUGCUGUUUUGACGUUACCAACAGAAUAAGCACCGGCUAACUUCGUGCCAGCAGCCGCGGUAAUACAAAGGGUGCAAGCGUUAAUC
This 491-nucleotide ribosomal RNA is filed under the name Pseudomonas sp. faro5_35. Its description in RNAcentral is "bacterial SSU rRNA". It matches the Rfam family "Bacterial small subunit ribosomal RNA", at positions 60 to 546 of the family's 1533-position model. The record is from RNAcentral. Lineage: Bacteria; Pseudomonadati; Pseudomonadota; Gammaproteobacteria; Pseudomonadales; Pseudomonadaceae.